RNAcentral lists this ribosomal RNA (252 nucleotides) under uncultured bacterium. RNAcentral's name for it is "partial 16S ribosomal RNA". It matches the Rfam family "Bacterial small subunit ribosomal RNA", at positions 524 to 776 of the family's 1533-position model. The record is from RNAcentral.
UACGUAGGUGGCAAGCGUUAUCCGAAUUAUUGGGCGUAAAGCGUCUGUAGGUGGUUUACCAAGUCUGUUGUUAAAAACCAGGGCUUAACCCUGAUCCGGCAACAGAAACUAGUAGGCUAGAGUACGGUAGGGGCAGAGGGAAUUCUCGGUGUAGUGGUGAAAUACGUAGAUAUCGAGAAGAACACCAAUAGCGAAAGCACUCUGCUGGGCCGAAACUGACAUUGAGAGACGAAAGCUAGGGGAGCAAAAAGG